Molecule: ribosomal RNA, 253 nt
Filed under: uncultured bacterium
Lineage: Bacteria
Description: partial 16S ribosomal RNA
Rfam family: Bacterial small subunit ribosomal RNA
Source: RNAcentral
GACGUAGGGCGCAAGCGUUGUCCGGAUUUAUUGGGCGUAAAGAGCUCGUAGGCGGCUUGUUGCGUCGUCCGUGAAAACCCGCAGCUCAACUGCGGGCUUGCGGACGAUACGGGCAGGCUGGAGUUCGGUAGGGGAGACUGGAAUUCCUGGUGUAGCGGUGAAAUGCGCAGAUAUCAGGAAGAACACCCGUGGCGAAGGCGGCUCUCUGGGACGGUACUGACGCUGAGACGCGAAAGCGUGGGGAGCGAACAGG